Molecule: ribosomal RNA, 256 nt
Filed under: uncultured bacterium
Lineage: Bacteria
Description: partial 16S ribosomal RNA
Rfam family: Bacterial small subunit ribosomal RNA
Source: RNAcentral
UACGGAAGGGGCAAGCGUUGUUCGGAAUCAUUGGGCGUAAAGGGCGCGUAGGUGGUUCUGUAUGUCUACCGUGAAAGCAUACAGCUCAACUGUAUUUUGUCGGUAGAAACUGCAGGACUUGAGGCUGGGAGGGGGCUGGUGGAAUUCCCUGUGUAGCGGUGAAAAUGCGUAGAGAUGGGGGAGAACACUCGUGGCGAAGGCGGCCAGCUAGACCAGUUCUGACACUGAGGCGCGACAGCGUGGGGGAGCAAACAGG